Molecule: ribosomal RNA, 894 nt
Filed under: uncultured bacterium
Lineage: Bacteria
Description: bacterial SSU rRNA
Rfam family: Bacterial small subunit ribosomal RNA
Source: RNAcentral
UUGGAGCAUAGCCUCGAAAAAUCGGGAUUAAUACUCCAUAACAUUAUGAAGUGGCAUCACUUUAUAAUUAAACCUCCGGGGAUUAAAGAUGAGCAUGCGCAACAUUAGCUAGUUGGUAAGGUAAUGGCUUACCAAGGCUACGAUGUUUAGGGGGUCUGAGAGGAUGAUCCCCCACACUGGUACUGAGACACGGACCAGACUCCUACGGGAGGCAGCAGUAGGGAAUAUUGGGCAAUGGAGGAAACUCUGACCCAGCCAUGCCGCGUGCAGGAUGACGGCCCUCUGGGUUGUAAACUGCUUUUAUACGGGAAGAAAAAAUGCUACGUGUAGCACAUUGACGGUACCGUAAGAAUAAGGAUCGGCUAACUCCGUGCCAGCAGCCGCGGUAAUACGGAGGAUCCAAGCGUUGUCCGGAUUUAUUGGGUUUAAAGGGUGCGUAGGCGGAUCUUUAAGUCAGUGGUGAAAGCCUGCAGCUCAACUGUAGAACAGCCAUUGAAACUGAAGAUCUUGAAUAUGGUUAAAGUAGGCGGAAUGUAUCAUGUAGCGGUGAAAUGCUUAGAUAUGAUACAGAACACCGAUAGCGAAGGCAGCUUGCUGAACCAUUAUUGACGCUGAGGCACGAAAGCGUGGGGAGCAAACAGGAUUAGAUACCCUGGUAGUCCACGCCCUAAACGUUGAUUACUCGUUGUUGGCGAUAUACUGUCAGCGACUAAGCUAAAGCGUUAAGUAAUCCACCUGGGAAGUACGACCGCAAGGUUGAAACUCAAAGGAAUUGACGGGGGCCCGCACAAGCGGAGGAAAUGUGGUUUAAUUCGAUGAUACGCGAGGAACCUUACCUGGGCUUGAAAGUUAGUGACCGCCUCUGAAAGGAGGCUUCUCUUCGGAGCACAAACU